Molecule: ribosomal RNA, 475 nt
Filed under: uncultured soil bacterium
Lineage: Bacteria
Description: bacterial SSU rRNA
Rfam family: Bacterial small subunit ribosomal RNA
Source: RNAcentral
AGGAUCAACGCUGGCGGCGUGCCUAAUGCAUGCAAGUCGAACGGGGUGGCCUUCGGGUCACUUACGUGGCGGACGGGUGAGGAACACGUGGGCAACCUGCCUGAUGGAGGGGGGAUAACCGCUGGAAACAGUGGGUAAUACCGCAUAAUCCUGGAUCUCGAGUGGGAGAUGUAGGGAAAGUCGCAAGACGCCGACAGAGGGGCCUGCGUCCGAUUAGCUAGACGGUGGGGUAACGCCUACCGUGGCAGUGAUCGGUAGCUGGUUUGAGAGGAUGAUCAGCCACACGGGGACUGAGACACGGCCCCGACUCCUACGGGAGGCAGCAGCAAGGAAUUUCCGCAAUGGGCGAAAGCCUGACGGAGCAACGCCGCGUGUGGGAUGACGCUUUUCGGAGUGUAACCACUGUCGUGGGACGAAGCACUGACGGUACCCGACGGACGGAAGGCCCGGACUAACGUACGUGCCAGCGAGCCGC